RNAcentral lists this unclassified non-coding RNA (214 nucleotides) under Hevea brasiliensis (rubber tree). Lineage: Eukaryota; Viridiplantae; Streptophyta; Magnoliopsida; Malpighiales; Euphorbiaceae. The record is from RNAcentral.
UUCAUUCUCAUCAGGCUCAACCAUGUCAUCAACUACUAUGUUAGGGUAUUGGGUCAACAUGUCAAGUAUGGUGAGCACAUUCUGCACGCACUUUUUCCAUACGUUUACCGGCAUGUGCCCACUGAGACUUGGAUUAACAUCAAACUGGGCAGAGACGAUACUGAAAAGAAUUUCAAGCUUCUGAGCUGGGGUCUUGGCCACCUUGGUCAAGAAG